CCUAGCUAUUCCCAUGACAACAGCAGCCGCCUGUGGCUGUGGCAGGAAGGGGAGGAGUCUGGAGAUGAGGCGUUUCCCCUUACGCACAGACAUGAUCAUCAAGCACUGCUCAUCGCUCACUCUGCAGAAGGAUGGAGAGUAGAAAUUGCCAAAACAGUCCUUAAGUCAAAAGAUCCUGGACUGGGCUUUGAUUUGUUGAAUCAAGCGAGCGUGCGAAGGCUCUUCUGUGGCACUCACCGGUCGUCCCACUCUUUUUCUCGGAGGGAGUUGUAGAGCUGCAGCGUGUGGGUUUUAUGCUGUUCUAGCAGGGCAUCUCUUUGG
Molecule: long non-coding RNA, 321 nt
Organism: Megalobrama amblycephala (Wuchang bream)
Lineage: Eukaryota; Metazoa; Chordata; Actinopteri; Cypriniformes; Xenocyprididae
Exons: 2
Source: RefSeq, a predicted model, not a curated record